UACGGGGGGAGCAAGCGUUGUUCGGAUUUACUGGGCGUAAAGGGCGCGUAGGCGGCACCGCAAGUCGACUGUGAAAUCUCCGGGCUUAACUCGGAAAGGUCAGCCGAUACUGCGGGGCUAGAGUGCAGAAGGGGCAACUGGAAUUCUCGGUGUAGCGGUGAAAUGCGUAGAUAUCGAGAGGAACACCUGCGGCGAAGGCGGGUUGCUGGGCUGACACUGACGCUGAACUGCGAAAGCUAGGGGAGCGAACGGG
Molecule: ribosomal RNA, 253 nt
Filed under: uncultured bacterium
Lineage: Bacteria
Description: partial 16S ribosomal RNA
Rfam family: Bacterial small subunit ribosomal RNA
Source: RNAcentral